GAUUGGAAAUGGGCGCAGCCUGAUCCAGCAUNCCGCGUGUGNGAAGAAGGCCCUAGGGUUUCCAAGCACUUUCAAUUGGGAGGAAAACCUGCCGGUUAAUACCCGGUAGCUUGACAUUNCCNAUAGAAGAAGCACCGGCUAACUCCGUGCCAGCAGCCGCGGUAAUACGGAGGGUGCGAGCGUUAAUCGGAAUUACUGGGCGUAAAGCGUGCGUAGGUGGUUCGUUAAGUCAGAUGUGAAAGCCCCGGGCUUAACCUGGGAACGGCAUUUGAAACUGGUGGACUAGAGUUGAGUAGAGGGGAGUGGAAUUUCAGGUGUAGCGGUGAAAUGCGUAGAUAUCUGAAGGAACACCAGUGGCGAAGGCGACUCCCUGGACUCAAACUGACGCUGAGGUACGAAAGCGUGGGUAGCAAACAGGAUUAGAUACCCUGGUAGUCCACGCUGUAAACGAUGUCAACUAGCCGUUGGUUCUAUAUACAGAAUUAGUGGCGCAGCUAACGCAUUAAGUUGACCGCCUGGGGAGUACGGCCGCAAGGUUAAAACUCAAAAAAAUUGACGGA
Molecule: ribosomal RNA, 560 nt
Filed under: uncultured bacterium
Lineage: Bacteria
Description: bacterial SSU rRNA
Rfam family: Bacterial small subunit ribosomal RNA
Source: RNAcentral